Molecule: long non-coding RNA, 269 nt
Filed under: Elaeis guineensis (African oil palm)
Lineage: Eukaryota; Viridiplantae; Streptophyta; Magnoliopsida; Arecales; Arecaceae
Description: long non-coding RNA (EGUI_LNC077555)
Source: RNAcentral
AAGGUAGCUCAGUCCCCCGAGGGGAUCAAUCAACAUAAAAAAGUCUAGUAGGACAGAAUCAUUAGCAUUGUCUCUAGAGAGAAUGCGACUGGAGAUUUUGAUUUCCCAGCUCUAAAGGUAGUUAGUUUGUUGACCCCAGGGGGAGAGUCCGACGUGAACGAAUCCGCUCUCUUUGCUGUGAACAAGAGGAAGCUCUGCAGAUGAAGCAGGCGACGGGUAAAUGCUUUUGUAGUUCAUACCAGGAUCCAGGAAAAGGCUUUGAACCUCGA